AUAAACUGGACCCCAGUUGGGGUGCGGUAGGAAUCCAGAAAGAGAUAGGCAAAGGAUCAGCAUCUCCCCCAACAUACAUACACACACACACACACACACACACACACACACCACCUCCAAAGUUCUUCUACACUUCCUGUCAGCACUGACAACCACAGCUGGAUGCCUACGACCAGUCCUCCAGAGCCCAGCCCGCAGCCGAGCUUCAGAGAGAGUCCUGGAUGGCCUCCCUCCGGCGGCCCGUGCAGGCGGCGGUCUAAUGACCAGCUCCGGGACCAGCGAGGCGCUCACCGGGCACUCAGCUCUGGCGGGGCGGACGGUGGAACCCGGGCGCGGGCGCUGCUUACCUUGGGCAUCAGCCCCGCGUGCGGCCAGCAGCAGCGCGGCCAGCAGCGCCAGCGGUGGCGGGCGCGUCCCGCGGCGGCGCGGCCGGUGCAUUCCUCCUCUCGUGGCGGUGCUGGCGGCUCCCUGGCGGCGCGCAGAACAUCCACGGGUUCGCCCAGGGCUCCGGGUCACUUCGUCCUGCCGCAGGCACUCGCAGGACACCGGGGGGCCUUUGCAAAAUUCUUUGUCCCUCUGACCUGCUCCCUCGUCUCCGCUCUGCCGCCCUGGACCUGGGAGCGCGGCUCCUCCCGGUCGGUACUCCGCAGCAGCCCUGACUCAGCCGGCCGUUCAGUCCUAGGCUCUCUGUGUCGCUCUUGCGAACCGUGUGUCUCCGGCUCCGACUGCAGAAGAGCGUGCCCAGUGCCUGGAGCUGCGGUCUCGGGGCUCACUAAGCCGAGGCUCCUCCAGCUCUCCACGAUCUCUCUUCUCGCCCAACUUGUCACUUUCCACCAACUCCACAACCCAGCGCCCCAGCCCGGACCAAUGGCAGAGGCGGGCCCAGGCCGGGGUCCUAGCGCCCUCUACUGCUACCUCCUGGAUUCGCACCUUCCAAGGCAUCUCGGAAAGCAGCUACCAUACCUCCUGUAAACCCAUCAUCCCCCCUCCGCCCCCUCCCCACCCCAACCCCACUCCCCAC
Molecule: long non-coding RNA, 1021 nt
Filed under: Mus spicilegus (steppe mouse)
Lineage: Eukaryota; Metazoa; Chordata; Mammalia; Rodentia; Muridae
Description: lncRNA (ENSMSIG00000026148.1)
Source: RNAcentral